UGGGGAAUUUUGGACAAUGGGCGAAAGCCUGAUCCAGCAAUGCCGCGUGUGUGAAGAAGGCCUUCGGGUUGUAAAGCACUUUUGUCCGGAAAGAAAUCCUUGGCUCUAAUACAGUCGGGGGAUGACGGUACCGGAAGAAUAAGCACCGGCUAACUACGUGCCAGCAGCCGCGGUAAUACGUAGGGUGCAAGCGUUAAUCGGAAUUACUGGGCGUAAAGCGUGCGCAGGCGGUUUGCUAAGACCGAUGUGAAAUCCCCGGGCUCAACCUGGGAACUGCAUUGGUGACUGGCAGGCUAGAGUAUGGCAGAGGGGGGUAGAAUUCCACGUGUAGCAGUGAAAUGCGUAGAGAUGUGGAGGAAUACCGAUGGCGAAGGCAGCCCCCUGGGCCAAUACUGACGCUCAUGCACGAAAGCGUGGGGAGCAAACAGGAUUAGAUACCCUGGUAGUCCACGCCCUAACGAUGUCAACUAGUUGUUGGGGAUUCAUUUCCUUAGUAACGUAGCUAACGCGUGAAGUUGACCGCCUGGGGAGUACGGUCGCAAGAUUAAAACUUAAAUGAAUUGACGGGGUCAUAGCUGUUUCCU
Molecule: ribosomal RNA, 584 nt
Filed under: uncultured bacterium
Lineage: Bacteria
Description: partial 16S ribosomal RNA
Rfam family: Bacterial small subunit ribosomal RNA
Source: RNAcentral